GUGUCAGCCGCCGCGGUAAUACGUAGGGGGCAAGCGUUGUCCGGAUUUAUUGGGCGUAAAGCGCGCGUAGGCGGCGCGGUAUGUCGUGCGUGAAAUCUCCCGGCUUAACUGGGAGGGGCCGUGCGAAACUGCCGGGCUUGAGGUCAGAAGGGGAAAGUGGAAUUCCGGGUGUAGUGGUGGAAUACGUAGAUAUCCGGAGGAACACCAGUGGCGAAGGCGGUCAUCUGGUUCGCAACUGACGCUGAGGCACGAAAGCGUGGGGAUCAAACAGGAUUAGAAACCCCUGUAGUCC
RNAcentral lists this ribosomal RNA (292 nucleotides) under uncultured bacterium. RNAcentral describes it as "partial 16S ribosomal RNA". It matches the Rfam family "Bacterial small subunit ribosomal RNA", at positions 505 to 796 of the family's 1533-position model. The record is from RNAcentral.